RNAcentral lists this ribosomal RNA (860 nucleotides) under Penicillium sp. 19 BRO-2013. RNAcentral describes it as "eukaryotic LSU rRNA". The stretch from base 616 to 860 matches the Rfam family "Eukaryotic large subunit ribosomal RNA", at positions 1 to 242 of the family's 3401-position model. Lineage: Eukaryota; Fungi; Ascomycota; Eurotiomycetes; Eurotiales; Aspergillaceae. The record is from RNAcentral.
UGCAUUGAUGGCUCAGUGAGGCCUUCGGACUGGCGCCGGAGGGUUGGCAACGACCCCCCAGCGCCGGAAAGUUGGUCAAACUCGGUCAUUUAGAGGAAGUAAAAGUCGUAACAAGGUUUCCGUAGGUGAACCUGCGGAAGGAUCAUUACCGAGUGCGGGCCCCUCGGGGCCCAACCUCCCACCCGUGUUGCCCGAACCUAUGUUGCCUCGGCGGGCCCCGCGCCCGCCGACGGCCCCCCCUGAACGCUGUCUGAAGUUGCAGUCUGAGACCUAUAACGAAAUUAGUUAAAACUUUCAACAACGGAUCUCUUGGUUCCGGCAUCGAUGAAGAACGCAGCGAAAUGCGAUAACUAAUGUGAAUUGCAGAAUUCAGUGAAUCAUCGAGUCUUUGAACGCACAUUGCGCCCUCUGGUAUUCCGGAGGGCAUGCCUGUCCGAGCGUCAUUGCUGCCCUCAAGCCCGGCUUGUGUGUUGGGCCCCGUCCCCCCCGCCGGGGGGACGGGCCCGAAAGGCAGCGGCGGCACCGCGUCCGGUCCUCGAGCGUAUGGGGCUUCGUCACCCGCUCUAGUAGGCCCGGCCGGCGCCAGCCGACCCCCAACCUUUAAUUAUCUCAGGUUGACCUCGGAUCAGGUAGGGAUACCCGCUGAACUUAAGCAUAUCAAUAAGCGGAGGAAAAGAAACCAACCGGGAUUGCCCUAGUAACGGCGAGUGAAGCGGCAAGAGCUCAAAUUUGAAAGCUGGCCCCCUCGGGGUCCGCAUUGUAAUUUGCAGAGGAUGCUUCGGGAACGGCCCCCAUCUAAGUGCCCUGGAACGGGCCGUCAUAGAGGGUGAGAAUCCCGUCUGGGAUGGGGUGGCCGCGCU